AUUGAACGCUGGCGGCAUGCUUUACACAUGCAAGUCGAACGGCAGCGCGGUCUUCGGCCUGGCUGCGAGUGGCGAACGGGUGAGUAAUGCAUCGGAACGUGCCCAGUAGUGGUGUAUAGCCCGGCGAAAGCCGGAUUAAUACCGCAUACGACCUGAGGGUGCAACCUGGGGGCCGAAAGGCCUCUUCCUCUUGUGGGGACCGACGUCGGGUUUGAUAGUUGGUGGGUUAAGGGCUUGCCAAGGCGACGAUCGGUGGGUGGUCUGAGAGGAAGGCCAGCCACAGUGGGAGUGAGACAGGGACAAGACGACUACGGGAGGGAGCAGUGGGGAAUUGUGGACAAUGGUGGCAACCAUGAUCCAGCCAGGCCGCGUGCGAGAAGAAGGCCUUCGGGUUGUAAACAGCUUUUGUUCGGGAAGAAACGCUCUGGGCUAAUACCCAGGGGGGAUGACGGUAACGGAAGAAUAAGCACCGGCUAACUACGUG
This 484-nucleotide ribosomal RNA is filed under the name uncultured bacterium. RNAcentral describes it as "partial 16S ribosomal RNA". It matches the Rfam family "Bacterial small subunit ribosomal RNA", at positions 29 to 507 of the family's 1533-position model. The record is from RNAcentral.